This 467-nucleotide ribosomal RNA is filed under the name uncultured bacterium. Its description in RNAcentral is "partial 16S ribosomal RNA". It matches the Rfam family "Bacterial small subunit ribosomal RNA", at positions 28 to 507 of the family's 1533-position model. The record is from RNAcentral.
GACGAACGCUGGCGGCGUGCUUAACACAUGCAAGUCGAACGGAAAGGCCUAGCUUGCUGGGUAUUCGCGAGGGGAACGGGUGAGUAACACGCGGGUGAUCCGUGCCCUACUCUGGGAUAUGCCUUGGAAACUGGGUGUAUUAUCCGAUAUUCAUUCUUCUUCGCAUGGGGAUUGGUGGAAAGCUUUGGCGGUUGGGGAUGGGCCCGCGGCCUAUCAGCUUGUUGGUGGGGUAAUGGCCUACCAAGGCGAUGACGGGUAGCCGGCCUGAGAGGGUGAUCGGCCACACUGGGACUGAGACACGGCCCAGACUCCUACGGGAGGCAGCAGUGGGGAAUAUUGCACAAUGGGCGGAAGCCUGAUGCAGCAACGCCGCGUGCGGGAUGACGGCCUUCGGGUUGUAAACCGCUUUCGGCUGCGACGAAGCGCAAGUGACGGUAAUGGCAGAAGAAGCACCGGCCAACUACGUG